Molecule: ribosomal RNA, 468 nt
Filed under: uncultured bacterium
Lineage: Bacteria
Description: partial 16S ribosomal RNA
Rfam family: Bacterial small subunit ribosomal RNA
Source: RNAcentral
GACGAACGCUGGCGGCGUGCUUAACACAUGCAAGUCGAACGGAAAGGCCCUGCUUUUGUGGGGUGCUCGAGUGGCGAACGGGUGAGUAACACGUGAGUAACCUGCCCUUGACUUUGGGAUAACUUCAGGAAACUGGGGCUAAUACCGGAUAGGAGCUCCUGCUGCAUGGUGGGGGUUGGAAAGUUUCGGCGGUUGGGGAUGGACUCGCGGCUUAUCAGCUUGUUGGUGGGGUAGUGGCUUACCAAGGCUUUGACGGGUAGCCGGCCUGAUAGGGUGACCGGCCACAUUGGGACCGAGAUACGGCCCAGACUCCUACGGGAGGCAGCAGUGGGGAAUAUUGCACAAUGGGCGGAAGCCUGAUGCAGCAACGCCGCGUGCGGGAUGACGGCCUUCGGGUUGUAAACCGCUUUCGCCUGUGACGAAGCGUGAGUGACGGUAAUGGGUAAAGAAGCACCGGCUAACUACGUG